UUGAGACAGGUGGUGCAUGGUUGUCGUCAGCUCGUGUCGUGAGAUGUUGGGUUAAGUCCCGCAACGAGCGCAACCCCUAUUGCUAGUUACCAUCAUUAAGUUGGGGACUCUAGCGAGACUGCCAGUGAUAAACGUGGAGGAAGGUGGGGAUGACGUCAAAUCCUCAUGGCCUUUAUGACCAGGGCUACACACGUACUACAAUGGCCGAUACAAAGGGCAGCGACACUGCGAGGUGAAGCCAAUCCCGUAAAAUCGGUCUCAGUCCGGAUUGGAGUCUGCAACUCGACUCCAUGAAGUUGGAAUCGCUAGUAAUCGUGGAUCAGCAUGCCACGGUGAAUACGUUCCCGGGCCUU
RNAcentral lists this ribosomal RNA (353 nucleotides) under uncultured Desulfocapsa sp. RNAcentral describes it as "bacterial SSU rRNA". It matches the Rfam family "Bacterial small subunit ribosomal RNA", at positions 1029 to 1382 of the family's 1533-position model. Lineage: Bacteria; Pseudomonadati; Thermodesulfobacteriota; Desulfobulbia; Desulfobulbales; Desulfocapsaceae. The record is from RNAcentral.